Molecule: ribosomal RNA, 550 nt
Filed under: uncultured bacterium
Lineage: Bacteria
Description: bacterial SSU rRNA
Rfam family: Bacterial small subunit ribosomal RNA
Source: RNAcentral
UAGGGAAUCUUCGNGCAAUGGACGGAAGUCUGACCGAGCAACGCCGCGUGAGUGAAGAAGGUUUUCGGAUCGUAAAGCUCUGUUGUAAGAGAAGAACGAGUGUGAGAGUGGAAAGUUCAUACUGUGACGGUAUCUUACCAGAAAGGGACGGCUAACUACGUGCCAGCAGCCGCGGUAAUACGUAGGUCCCGAGCGUUGUCCGGAUUUAUUGGGCGUAAAGCGAGCGCAGGCGGUUAGAUAAGUCUGAAGUUAAAGGCUGUGGCUUAACCAUAGUACGCUUUGGAAACUGUUUAACUUGAGUGCAAGAGGGGAGAGUGGAAUUCCAUGUGUAGCGGUGAAAUGCGUAGAUAUAUGGAGGAACACCGGUGGCGAAAGCGGCUCUCUGGCUUGUAACUGACGCUGAGGCUUGAAAGCGUGGGGAGCAAACAGGAUUAGAUACCCUGGUAGUCCACGCUGUAAACGAUGAGUGCUAGGUGUUAGACCCUUUCCGGGGUUUAGUGCCGUAGCUAACGCAUUAAGCACUCCGCCUGGGGAGUACGACCGCAAGGUU